UCCCAAAAAUAAACGUCCCAGUUCGGACUGUAGUCUGCAACCCGACUACACGAAGCUGGAAUCGCUAGUAAUCGCGAAUCAGAAUGUCGCGGUGAAUACGUUCCCGGGUCUUGUACACACCGCCCGUCACACCAUGGGAGCCGGUAAUACCCGAAGUCAGUAGUCCAACCUCGUGAGGACGCUGCCGAAGGUAGGAUUGGCGACUGGGGUGAAGUCGUAACAAGGUAUC
RNAcentral lists this ribosomal RNA (229 nucleotides) under uncultured bacterium. RNAcentral's name for it is "partial 16S ribosomal RNA". It matches the Rfam family "Bacterial small subunit ribosomal RNA", at positions 1272 to 1500 of the family's 1533-position model. The record is from RNAcentral.